GCCGUUCCCCGGAAACACAGGCGUCUCGGCCGAGAGGUCGGGUUUGCAGGCCCGGAUGCACUCCUGGGGGAGAGCGCCAGCCGCACCAGCCGCACACUUCCAUGGAGGCCUGAAGUAGCAAGGCCAGCAGCAGGGCCCCAGAGCAGCUGUAGCACAAUCUCGGCAUCUUCCAGGUGGCAGGCUGAGGCUCUGCAGAGGCAAACAAGAUUGGUGGGACCCCUGCAAGGAGUAGAACAAUGUUGGAUAUGCACCAGGAAGGACUGCAAGCCAACAGCAACAAUGCUUGCUUAUGGAGUCCAAGGCUUUUUGAGACCCCUAAAGAGGCUAGAAGUGGAAGCUAUUUGGGGGAAAUUGCAUGAUCCAGCCAUUCAUUUGAGAGAUGGAGAAUCUGAAGCCCACAAGAAACAACUACGUUUAUAUUCAAAACACAGUAAGACUAAAUUCUGCUUUCAGCACAGAGCUUUCUUAUUUCACUGCCUCCAUGAGGCUGUGGUCCUAACACUGCAGUUCUAAGAGGUGAGAAUAACUUGAGAAAGACAAAGGACUCCAAAAUUCCUGCUCGAUAUGGUCAUUUCCCCUCUUCGUCUGCCAGCAUCAUUCCUCUGAAACACCAUUUCCCAUGAAUAUUAGAACUGCAUAAAGGUGCUUAAA
Chinchilla lanigera (long-tailed chinchilla) is the source of this 651-nucleotide long non-coding RNA. RefSeq lists it as uncharacterized. NCBI's taxonomy places the organism in Eukaryota, Metazoa, Chordata, Mammalia, Rodentia, Chinchillidae. The record is from RefSeq and is a predicted model, not a curated record. The transcript has 3 exons.